RNAcentral lists this ribosomal RNA (526 nucleotides) under fungal sp. BLH59. RNAcentral describes it as "eukaryotic LSU rRNA". The stretch from base 196 to 349 matches the Rfam family "5.8S ribosomal RNA". Lineage: Eukaryota; Fungi. The record is from RNAcentral.
AGGUGAACCUGCGGAAGGAUCAUUACCUUUCAAUGCAGAAGAGUUGAGAUGGUUGAGUAUCUCGCCUCUCAAUUCUCGCUGUAUUUUACCCUUGUUUUUCUCAUACUAUUAUUUCCUCGGCAGGCUCGCCUGCCGGGUGAAACAACUUCAAACCUGUUUAAUUUUCAAUCAGCGUCUGAACAAAUUAAUAAUUACAACUUUCAACAACGGAUCUCUUGGUUCUGGCAUCGAUGAAGAACGCAGCGAAAUGCGAUAAGUAGUGUGAAUUGCAGAAUUCAGUGAAUCAUCGAAUCUUUGAACGCACAUUGCGCCCCUUGGUAUUCCAUGGGGCAUGCCUGUUCGAGCGUCAUUUGUACCUUCAAGCUCUGCUUGGUGUUGGGUGUUUGUCCUUGCUCUAGUGGCGGGACUCGCCUUAAAGUAAUUGGCAGCCAGUGUUUUGGUUUUGAAGCGCAGCACAAGUCGCGAUUCAAGUCUAUACGCUAGUUUCCACAAGUCUUUUAUCACUUUGACCUCGGAUCAGGUAGGG